AUAUAAGCCACACACACCCUGCCAAACUAUAUUGCAUAGGUAGUCCUAGAGAGAGAUAUUUAAGAAUUACUCAAUAACCAGGAAACAGAAAGACAAAACCUAUAUAUCCCCUAAUAAAUGAUAAACCACAUACAACUUGCAAUGCAAUUCACAAAUGACCAACACGCUCCAAAAACCAGAGCGAUUCAUAGUAAAUACGUUCCCUUGUGGUUUUGCUGCGAUACAGAGAGAGAGGAGACAGGCAGAACAGCGCUGCCUCUUGUGUGUGGGAAUAAAUAACCGGGCUUUUAUGAUGGGAAUGAAAGCAGCGAUCGGCCAGUGCCCAGACAUUUCUCAUUUGUUCAGUCUGUCACACGGGGACUAGAAGGGGUUUUGGUGCAAAUUCAUUAUCUGUGCCAAUAGUGGGAGCUGAAAGGGACCGUGGCAAUGGGCGGACAAUGGGGCUUCAGUUCAUCACUAACAAAAGAAUUAGGAGAAAUUGUUGGAUUUCUAAGCACGUCCUCCUCCUCAGCAGAGAGGGCUGGUCUCGUCCUUGGCCAUUCCCCCCAAAAACUUGCAGACCCCUUCAGUGAAGCACUUCACUCUCUACUCAAGGCUUAUUAAUCCUCUCUCUCAUGGGAUUUUUAUUUAUUUAUUUUUUUCAUUUUUAUUUUUUUUUACCCAUAAAUAUCUGGAAAUAAUUCGCAGCGAAAUUUGAAAAAUGGACCAAACAAGAAUAUAUCCGACGGGAUUAUUUGUUUCUUUGAGCUGUGGGCAGAUGAAGGGCAUAACUUGUGUGUCAGUCGUUAUUGGGGAAGGUGCUGCUGUGGCUUCUUUUUGGUGCAAGUAAAAAUGAAGAAGAUAUUUUACUGAGCACAUGCUUGGAUGUGAUUGUUGCCGGCCCUCUGGAUCUCACAUAGCAGACCGGUGGCAGCACCAACAGCAGCAGCAGCAACAGCAACAGCAGCAGCAACAUCUCCCACUUCUCCACCCCCUCCAUACGAGUCCUGCGAGGAGCUACCCCCUAAACACACGCACACGAGAUGUUUGACACCGUUUGGGCAGAAGCAUGAGGAAAAAUAAAGCCGUGCCAUGAAUAAUACGGAAGGAUCAGACCAUUGAAUCAUCUUGUCACUUUGGACUGGAAUUAGAUUUCUUCCUGCGGCUGAGCUGCUCAGGAACACAAGCCUUUACAUCUUCCUAAUGCUUGAGGAGUCUUGGGUGAGAAUGAAGCAAUUUACAUUGCAAAUAGAGGCCUGGGAAGAGAUGGAGGCUGAUCAGUGCAUCUUGGGAGCUGUUUGUGUUUUCUCAUGUCUGGCACAACAAUUUGGUGAUAAUUUCUGCUCUCGGAAUAACUCGCCAGGAGCAAAGUUGGGGAUAAACUUUAAAGGCAACAGACCUCAUUGGAUUCUUAUUAUGUUGAUGACUCACAUUGGAAAGGGGAAAUCAGUGGCACUGGACUCCAGGCUGUACAUUGAGGGGGAUGUGGAUGUUCCAGCAGGAUCAGUGUGUGUGGGAAGUGGUUGUUAUCUUUGGUUAUCUAGCUGUAUGAGUUUAUUGGUUUCAUAAAGCUAGAUAACCGAAAGUAAAAACUCCUUCCAGAUCUUCACAUCGCACAUAAGGAAUAUACCGCCCAAAUGACUGUGCCGAGCAAAUGAAUGCCUUUAUCUAGACUGCUAAUUCUCAUGCUGAAGGGAUUGUAUUGCCUUACAUUUAAACACAUGCAACAGAGCACGGAUUUCAAUCAUGCUGCUGGGCUUGUUACCAAAGCCAUCAAAUCCUCCAUGGGAAAAAUGGUGCUGGUGGUAAUGUAUGUGCAAGUUUUGAUGUUCAGCCUAUAAUGUGUUAACUCUGUAUUGUUCCUACUCGCAUAACUCUGAUGUGAGCCUACAGACAUGUACGAGGCACUCAGGACCCAAUCUGAAAUUGUAUUGAGUAAAAGGUUAUGGGAACAUUUAAAAACGGAGGCUUGCUGAAGAAGGUCUCAGCUGGCGGUCGAAACGUUAAAGCUAAUCUGUCAGUGAAAAUGCUCUCGCCUUUAUUAAACCCCAUGAGUACA
Molecule: long non-coding RNA, 2038 nt
Organism: Xenopus laevis (African clawed frog)
Lineage: Eukaryota; Metazoa; Chordata; Amphibia; Anura; Pipidae
Exons: 3
Source: RefSeq, a predicted model, not a curated record